Molecule: long non-coding RNA, 1584 nt
Organism: Cervus elaphus (red deer)
Lineage: Eukaryota; Metazoa; Chordata; Mammalia; Artiodactyla; Cervidae
Exons: 3
Source: RefSeq, a predicted model, not a curated record
GGAAGUGUUUGAUGUCUGUUAACAUGCUCACCGGUUUCCGAAGCUUCAUCUGCCGCAGUGAGCCGUGGGCUCUGACUCCUACAAGUCACAGCUGAACAUGUGAGAAAGUCCGAGGUCCCUUCUGCAGAAAGGAGCAGGUACCAGGGAGCAACUCCACCGCACCGCCUGUCACCCCGGGGAUGUGACUCAUGACUUGGUGACCUUCAGACCAAGCUCAGCUCACUGUGACCCACAGCUCAGCUCGCAGUGUCUCCAGUGAAGAUAACAUUCCUUACCUUGCUUUCAGAAUUAAUGAGACGUUUUUUUUUAAGAACCCAUGGCUGCAAAGCACUAAUUAUUAUUCUUCUAAGCCAUCCUCAGAAUAAACCUUUUGAGAGGCGCGAUCUGGAGGAGGUGCGGGGCCCAGAGAACAAAGAGGCAGCUGUGCCGGCUUUUCUGGGAGGCGAGACGCGCACAGUCUCAGCACGGCGCGCCCCUUGGACACGCUACACCAUUUCUCUGACAAAGAUCACCCACGAAGGGACAGGAGUUUCUUUGGUGUUAUUUAUACCCGAACCGCGGAAAGAAAAAAAAACUAAAGACAGGGCAUACUUCUUCAGUUUGAGACCACAUAGAACUCAGGGUUCCGAAUGCCUCCCACUUGGCCAAGGCUGGACUUACUCAUGAAAUUAUACACCAGGGCUGUGCAAUUAAACAUUCUCUGUCAGGGAAUACAUCUGGGUGCCCAGCCUCAGCUUUUCAGGAUGGCGCCGGGACUGACCGUGGCUUUCUUCUGACAGGGGUUGAGCUUCCAAGUGUCCCCAGGAAUGGAUGCAGAGAUGCUGGGCAGACUGCCCUUGACUUGAGCCCUUGCUCACCUGCAUGAGGUGCUUAGGAGGCUGGACGUGUUCUCCCAAGAGAAGACACUGCACGCGACCUCGCGCUCCUUAGCCCAAAAUUCAGUUGUGCUGGUUCACUUCUCCUCCCCUCCCAGCGGACAAGAGAUUAUAAUUACAAACCCAGUCCCGCUAAUUAGGGACUUUGGGGGCCUGUUAAAAGGUCCCUUUCCGGUUGGUCUCCAGAUUUCUGCCAGCUUGCAAACGGUGUUGAUGACAAUGACUGUGAAACAUGGCCCAGAAUGAGACCUCGUUUCACAGUCAAGGGGAAUGGCAUCUGUCUGAACUCAUGUCAGCACGCCUAAAAUACAUGCACUAAGAAUUCUACCAUUCUGUCUCUUCCUCUACUAUUCUAUGGCUUCUCGCAACAUCAGCCUACCAUUCUCAUCCAGAAACUGCUUUCCGACAAAAAAGCAUCAUCCGGAGACGUUAAUGGAUGAAGUGCAUCAGAUACGACUAUCAGACAUCUUUCAGCUUCACAGGCUCUCUCCCUCACUCCCCUCUGAGCCCACCUGCUCAACUCCGCCCCUCGCCCAGCACAAACACAAUGACGGAUGCGCUUUCAUCCUCAUUAAUAAACAAGUAGUCACAGCAAUUGCUACCCUGUCUCUACCUUCUUUAAUGAACUCCGUAAAAUUUACCAGGCAAGAUUUCCCAUAUCUCUCCUCCCAAAAACCUGUCACUAAACUCAGGCCAAAAAAGUGAACGU